This 279-nucleotide unclassified non-coding RNA is filed under the name plant metagenome. RNAcentral describes it as "partial contains small subunit ribosomal RNA, internal transcribed spacer 1, and 5.8S ribosomal RNA". The record is from RNAcentral.
UUUCCGUAGGUGAACCUGCGGAAGGAUCAUUAUUGUAUAACCAACGUCCGAGCGCUUUCGCUGACCCCAAAAGUCUUGCACGCCCGAGUGCCCCCCCACCCGUCCAUCUCACCCCCCUGUCCACCACCGCGUGCGUCCCCCUUUGUUAUUUUCGGUGCUGGGCUUACGUUUCCACACAAACUUAGCAUUCAGCGACGAAUGUAUUUUUUGUUUUUUCGAUCACGCAAGCAAUACAACUUUCAACAACGGAUCUCUUCUCUCUUCCAUCGAUGAAGACCC